GUUUUAAUAGUUUAAUUAAAAACAUUGGUCUUGUAAACCAAAAAUAAAGUAUAUUUUUAAAACU
RNAcentral lists this transfer RNA (64 nucleotides) under Creobroter sp. Its description in RNAcentral is "tRNA-Thr". It matches the Rfam family "tRNA". Rfam says of the family: Transfer RNA (tRNA) molecules are approximately 80 nucleotides in length. Their secondary structure includes four short double-helical elements and three loops (D, anti-codon, and T loops). Lineage: Eukaryota; Metazoa; Arthropoda; Insecta; Mantodea; Hymenopodidae. The record is from RNAcentral.